RNAcentral lists this ribosomal RNA (563 nucleotides) under Eucriotettix oculatus. RNAcentral's name for it is "12S ribosomal RNA". Lineage: Eukaryota; Metazoa; Arthropoda; Insecta; Orthoptera; Tetrigidae. The record is from RNAcentral.
AUUUGCAUAAUUAAUUGUUUUGGUGGCAGAUAUUUUUUAUAUGGAAGAAUAUUAUAUAAUUUAUGGUGGAAUAAUUAUUGUUUAUUUAUUUUCUAUUUUUUUUUCUGUAAUGGCUAUAGUUUAAACUGGGAUUAGAUACCCCAUUAUUUUAGUUUUAAUUUUUUUCCAGGGUAGUAUUAGUUUUUUAUGAAAUCUAAAGAAUUUGGCGGCAUUUUAUCUUUUUAGGGGAACCUGUUCUUUAAAUGAUAAUACACGAUUAGCUUUACUAUAUUUAAAGGUUUGUAUACUUCCGUUAUCAGGAUAUUUAAUAAUAAUAUAUUCUUGUUUUUAUAUAAUAAAAUAUUUCAGGUCAAGGUGCAGCUUAUGUUAUAGUAUGAAAUGGGUUACAAUAAUAUUAUUUAUAUGGAUUUUUUUUUUAAAAUUUAAGAUGAAGGGGGAUUUAUUAGUAAGUUUUUAUAAUUAUAAGUUCUGAAUUAGUUCUAAUUUGGGUACAUAUCGCCCGUCAUUCUCAUAUUUGAGACAAGUCGUAACAUAGUAAAUUUACUGGAAAGGGAAUCUGGUUG